AUAAUCACAGGGCUGCUUUGAAAAUUGCAUCGAGCAGUUCGGCAGCCGGGGAGGGAGGAAUUACACCCGUGUGAAAACCAUCCUCACCGGCACGCACAGGGAGCAGGGAAAAGCGGCCAAAACGCUCGCUCCUUUUCCCUCGCCCCUCUUCCCUGGGAAAUAUUCGCUAGGCUGAAAUCCCCUCCCGGAGGGGGUCCCUUCGCUCUCGGGUUGAGAGGGGAAGGCCACAGCUGCUGCUCAGAGGGAGCAGGGACCUGGAGCUUCCCCUGCCCGGCCCGGCUCGGCCCGGCGCGCCCCGUACGGCGGCUGUGGCCGCUCCGCUCCGCGCCCUGCUCGCUUGCUGUGCCUGCUGUGCACAUCCAUACGUCCCUAUACAUCCCUAUAUAUCGAUGGAUGUGCCUGCGUGCCCACGGACAGAGCAACCGCAGGGAGCAGAGCCUGGGGAGCACCGGCUCCCUGGUUUUGUCACGGAGAAAAUAGGCCGGGAAUGGUCGGAACAGAAACCAAGAGGGCUCGGGAUGGGGUUUCCCUGUAUUUUCCUGCAUCCCCCAGGUUCCCCAUGUCACUCUCCAGCCGUGUCCCGGGGCACCUCCCGCCGCUGCCUGCGCUGCCCGGGCCGGGGCCGCUCGGUGCCCACCGGGGCACGGCUCCCGCAGCUCCUCUCGGGGGCUUUGCCGGCCCCGCAUCCCGACGGGCCGCUCUCCCCUGUCCUCUUGGCGUCUACAAGGAGAAAAUCUGGCAGGGGCUCCCUUCCCAGCAAUCCCCGAUCUGCUCCAAACACACUUGGAGGCAGCCUCUCUCGGAGGGAGGGGUGCGCUACAUUCGCAGUCAAAUUACAUGGCUGGCCUCAGAGGCAACUCGCUUCGGAUUUCCAAACUAAUACUCAUCUUUUAAAAGCCGAGCCAAGAAGAAAAUGCGAGGAAGGCCUCAGAUGCGGGAGACCUCGGGAGUGUGAAGGUCCGUCUGUGUUUUCCACUGCAAGUUAUGAAACCAGCACUUUCCUUCUCCUGGAGAGGGUGAUUUUGUCUAAGAUCUCCAAAGCGGAGUGAGCCACAAGGCUAUCUGUAGGCAUGCAGCUCUACCAACUCACGAGGAAUUCAGCAGGGGAAGACGAGGCACGUGCUCGAUGGUGUGUCAGUCCCAGCAUGAUGGAGAGCUUCCCGUGGGAUCACACCAGAGCUAAUGUUAGUGAGCAUGGCUGCACUUGGGGACCAGCUUUGUGGGGGAGCAGAGGAAAGGUUGCUCCCUCCUGCACUGCACAGCAGCCCCAACCCAAGAGGGUUUGUUUUGAAACCAGAUGCAGCGAGAGAGGCAGCGCUGCUGCACAUGGCAGGAGGGGCGGCGUGCGAAGGACAGAUCCUGCUCCCCGUCCUGCUGGAAAGGGAAGGAAGCGACCUCUGCAGAGCCAAUGUCAUCACAUCAGCGCUGGCGAGAGCUGAGAUUUCUUGUUGACAUGAAUAGUCUUUGUCUUUUGUUUUCCCACAUUGCUGGAGGAUGGUAGCAAAAACAUUAAUGGAUUUGGACCAGCAACAUCACUCAGAGUCUGGGAAAGGAGGAAGAAUGUCUCAUCCUUCACUGAUGAAGCCUAAUACUAACUCACUAGCCCAUCCAUGGCACCAAUAUUACUGCCAGCAGAUGCAGAGUUUCCAGAGGCAAAUGAGCCACUAAAGGGUACAAAGUCUUUCCCAAUAUGGUUUAACACUUGAGCAACACAGACCAAAAAGAAAUCAACUCAUGCAUAUUGCCAUAUCAGAUUAGAACAAAGGACAUGAAUUCUUCAGUGAAUAAGAAACCAGAAGGAAGAUCAUGGCGGUCAGAUAAGAAGUUGGAAAUGUUGUGAGCCUUCAAAUAAAGAGGUUAAGCACACAAUUAAAACCACAAAGCACAAUAUCUGUUGUAAGCUGCAUGGAUAAUCAAUAUUGGAAUGUGAUGCCUUUUAAUCAGGGGGUCUUUUAAACAGCUUGAGGGGAGGCAAGGUUGGAGGGGAUAAGUAUUUAAUUGCAAGAGCAAAUUUGCUACUGGGGAAGUUGAAAUCCAUGUCUGGUAGCAAGUUCCCCCAAAAAAUGUAGGUUGCAGUGAGGAUGGUGUUAAGCAACAACGUUCACAGCGCUUAGAUUGCCAGCGAGAUAAAAGGCACUAUUUAUUAAAGAUAAUUCUUCUGGAUUAAUCUCUUUUCUGUUCUCAAAGCACAAUGAGGAUGUUGAAGUUCCCUAUCCAGAUGAUUCUCUCCAGACCUAUGAUACAGCAAUUGUGAAUGAAAGCUCCCUGACCACAACCUCUGGACAAAACCAACACUACCCUAGAGCUAGCAAGCUGGAAAGGCAGCUAUUUCCCAGAACCUCAAUAGUUCCCCCAAAAAAAGCAUCUGAGCAAACUGUUCUUUUACAUUAAAUUGUCCUCAGCCAAAGUGAAGCGGGUUAUUGUCUUACUAGAAUACGUGUUGUUUGUUGUUUUUUUUUUAAUCUUAAGAGCUUUUGACAACUCUGAAUUGCCUCCUGCAGCCCCAGCGCAUCCUCUGCAGCCCGUGGGAUGCUGGGUGACCCAUUAGGCUGCAGCUUUCUUUCACUCUCCGACUUCUCCUGCAUGCUGCUGGAUCCCAGUUCCAGUUGGCAUGUGGUGGUUCUCUGUUGAUGAAUGAGCGCCAUGGAGCAGAUGGGAUGGAAACAGAGCUGUUCUUGCCAUUCAGUCAGCUCCUAAUGAGGAGUGCUUUGGCACCAAUGUGCUGAGACGUGCCCACUUCUUAAGAGCUGGUUUUUCAUUUACGUGACCCCAUGUGACAGCUCCCUCUCAUGAGAUUUCCUCGGACUUGAUUUAUGAAAUCUGACUUCCAGCUGUACGCUACUUGGGGCACAGACCAGUGUGAUGCUCCUUGUGAGGUUCGCAGCUUGCAGUACACAGCAGACACAACAACUGUUUUAAAAAGUCAGCCAGCGGCCCCAAAAAGAUUUGUCAAAGCUAGGAGAGGGAGGGCCAUCUUUUGCCGGAGAGGGGAAGCGAAGCAAUGCGGGAGCUGUGCUGUAGGAAAAUCUUCAGCUAAACUGUUUUCUUCCUUAUACGAUUGCCUAUGCUGAGCCUAUUGAAGGAAAUCUUUGGGAAAAUACCUAAGAGGAUUUUUCCUUUCAGAUUAAGUGAUUUCUAGAUGAUUUUACCCAUAGCACAUCAGCAGGGGGGUGAGUUCAGCUGCACUUUGCCUACACCAGAGAAAGAGAGGCUCACUCUUCUGAAAAUCAUCCGCUAAAUUAAUGAAGACAAGAAUGUACAUUAAGCUGAACCUAUUUAGCUUAUUAAAGGCUCCUCUCUCAGA
Anas platyrhynchos (mallard) is the source of this 3304-nucleotide non-coding RNA. The record is from RefSeq and is a predicted model, not a curated record. Lineage: Eukaryota; Metazoa; Chordata; Aves; Anseriformes; Anatidae.